CCUACGGGUGGCAGCAGUGGGGAAUACUGCACAAUGGGCGCAAGCCUGAUGCAGCCAUGCCGCGUGUGUGAAGAAGGCCUUCGGGUUGUAAAGCACUUUCAGCGUGGAGGAAGGCGUUAAGGUUAAUAACCUUGUCGAUUGACGUUACCCGCAGAAGAAGCACCGGCUAACUCCGUGCCAGCAGCCGCGGUAAUACGGAGGGUGCAAGCGUUAAUCGGAAUUACUGGGCGUAAAGCGCACGCAGGCGGUCUGUCAAGUCGGAUGUGAAAUCCCCGGGCUCAACCUGGGAACUGCAUUCGAAACUGGCAGGCUAGAGUCUUGUAGAGGGGGGUAGAAUUCCAGGUGUAGCGGUGAAAUGCGUAGAGAUCUGGAGGAAUACCGGUGGCGAAGGCGGCCCCCUGGACAAAGACUGACGCUCAGGUGCGAAAGCGUGGGGAGCAAACAGGAUAGAUACCCGUGUAGUC
This 464-nucleotide ribosomal RNA is filed under the name uncultured Klebsiella sp. Its description in RNAcentral is "bacterial SSU rRNA". It matches the Rfam family "Bacterial small subunit ribosomal RNA", at positions 338 to 795 of the family's 1533-position model. The record is from RNAcentral. Lineage: Bacteria; Pseudomonadati; Pseudomonadota; Gammaproteobacteria; Enterobacterales; Enterobacteriaceae.